UGCAUGUCUGGAUCACUCUGACCACAGUUGGUUAGAACAUGGCGCUGAUAAUGCCAAGGCUGCGGGUUCGAUUCCCGUAUAGGACCGCUGCAU
Molecule: non-coding RNA, 93 nt
Organism: Podarcis lilfordi (Lilford's wall lizard)
Lineage: Eukaryota; Metazoa; Chordata; Lepidosauria; Squamata; Lacertidae
Source: the annotation of a GenBank genome assembly